GAUGAAGAACGUAGCAAAAUGCGAUAAGUAAUGUGAAUUGCAGAAUUCAGUGAAUCAUCGAAUCUUUGAACGCACAUUGCGCCCGCUGGUAUUCCGGCGGGCAUGCCUGUUCGAGCGUCAUUUCAACCCUCAAGCCCCCGGGUUUGGUGUUGGGGAUCGGCUCUGCCCUUCUGGGCGGUGCCGCCCCCGAAAUACAUUGGCGGUCUCGCUGCAGCCUCCAUUGCGUAGUAGCUAACACCUCGCAACUGGAACGCGGCGCGGCCAUGCCGUAAAACCCCAACUUCUGAAUGUUGACCUCGGAUCAGGUAGGAAUACCCGCUGAACUUAAGCAUAUCAUAAGCGAAGGA
RNAcentral lists this unclassified non-coding RNA (347 nucleotides) under soil metagenome. RNAcentral's name for it is "partial contains 5.8S ribosomal RNA, internal transcribed spacer 2, and large subunit ribosomal RNA". The stretch from base 1 to 120 matches the Rfam family "5.8S ribosomal RNA", at positions 35 to 154 of the family's 154-position model. The record is from RNAcentral.